Molecule: ribosomal RNA, 468 nt
Filed under: uncultured bacterium
Lineage: Bacteria
Description: partial 16S ribosomal RNA
Rfam family: Bacterial small subunit ribosomal RNA
Source: RNAcentral
GACGAACGCUGGCGGCGUGCUUAACACAUGCAAGUCGAACGAAAAGGCCCUGCUUUUGUGGGGUGCUCGUGUGGCGCACGGGUGAGUGACACGUGUGUAACCUGCCCCUGUCUUUGUGAUAACUUCUGGGGACUGGGGCUCUUACCCGAUAGGAUCUCCUGCUGCAUGUUGGUGGUUGGAAAGUUUCGGCGGUUGGGGCUGGACUCGCGGCUUCUCCGCUUGUUUGUGUGGUAGGUGCUGACAAAGCCUUUGACGGGUAGCCUGCCUGAGAGGGGUAACGGCGACAUUGGGACUGAGAUACGGCCCAGAAUCCUACGGGAGGCAGCAGGGGGGAAUAUUGCGGAAUGGGCGGAAGCCUGAGGCAGCAGCGCCGCGUGCGGGAUGACGGCCUUCGGGUUGUAAACAGCUUUCGACGGUGACGAAGCGUGAGUGACGGUAAUGGGUAAAGAAGCACCGGCUAACUACGUG